Molecule: long non-coding RNA, 3480 nt
Filed under: Nilaparvata lugens (brown planthopper)
Lineage: Eukaryota; Metazoa; Arthropoda; Insecta; Hemiptera; Delphacidae
Description: uncharacterized LOC120350631, transcript variant X1
Source: RNAcentral
GCAACCUUGACCCCAACUCCUGCACUUGUCCUAUCAUUAGUAAAGUUAAAAAUUGUAAAUAUCUAGGUAUCUAUAUAGAUGAGAACCUGAAAUGGGAUAACCAUAUUAAAUUCAUUUGCAGGAGGAAGAAAUAACUCUCUUGCAAAUUUUAUGCAACUAGUAAAAUUCUGAAUCCAACUCAUCUUAAAAUGCUUUAUUUUGCUAUGGUACAGUCUAUAAUUCAAUACGGAAUAGCAGUAUGGGGGGAGGGUGUUAUAAUUCCCAUUUGGAAGAAGUGUUCAUAAUGCAGAAAUUAAUAAUUAAAUCAGUUUUAAAUAAAUAAAUCCAGAUUUUUCCCUACUGACCUUAUAUUUGAUGAAUUCAAGGUUUUGACAGUUAAUCUUUAAAUUAUUGUAACCGUUAUCUUUAUUGUUAUUUCACAUCCUAUCUCCCCUUCCCUCAGCCCUGCCUAUCUAACUACCUUCUCUCACUUCCCUAUCACACACCCUUCCCUUCCAGUUUUACCUUAACUGCCUAUUACAUGGGAAACCAUAGUUGGCAAGAUAUUUUCCCCCUCUUUCUUCCAGCACACAUUAAUAUUGUCUUUAAUGUGUUAAUAUCAUUGUUACUGCUAUUGUUUUGCUGUAUAUCGCAUUUUCUCAUUGUAUUUUUGUGUUUGUAGAUGUCCGUUAGAAUGUGCUUCAUUAAAUUCAACCAACUCUAUUUGAAGUACGAUCGUUGCGCUUAUUAUCGAAAUUAAUAUCUCCAAUUGGGGGACUAUUUAGUUAUUAUUGUUUAAUUAACAACCGGCUAGAUUUCCGCUUGAUAGUUGGGUGUGGGAGUUGAGUUACGUGUGUUUAUUGGAAUAUUAUCUCAGGAGUGUACAGUACAUACCUAAUAUUAAGCUAUCGGUUUGAAAAUAGACAUUUCAAUAAAUAAUUAUCCCAGAUUGGGGAAAAUAUUAACGUAUCUCUUCGGAAGUUUGCAUCGAAAUUUUGGGGGCAGCGCAGCCGGUAGUGGAAUCAACUGAAACCUGUUAAUCCUGGCACUCAUCCUACCUAAUUCUACCCAAAUUCCAAUAGAAUCAGAUCAGUUGGUAAGAGAUUCCGACUGGACUUCCUGAUUACAAAAGAUUGAUAAAAUCUUCUUCCAUUUAGUGGCAUGCAAUUCAACAGUCAACAACUAAUUCUGGUUCAAUCUUUAAAUCGCAGCCUAUAUUGAUCAGUUGAGCAUCUCUGAGCAUUCUAUGUUUUGAACAUACAUACUAUAUAUUGCCAACAUAUUUCAACAGUACUAAUUUAUUAGCAUCAAUGUAAAUCUUGGUUGUAACAAUGUAGGAGGAUCGCUUCCAGGCCUUGCGCUGCAGGAUGUGGCCCAACUGCAGUUCCGCCCUGACGCCGCAGUGCGCCUCGGAAAGAUCGAACACAUUGAUGCCGCACUCGUAGGCCGCGUGCACCACGCAGUCAGCCGUCUCUUCACUCACGUUGUUGCCGAAUGUCACCCAUGUACCUGCAACACCAACAUCAGUUUGAAGAAAUGGGAAACGCUCUCUAUGGAAUAUCUUGGCACGUGCCCUGUACCUAAUAUCUCCUUAACCGCAUCCUGGUACUCCUCGGGGUAAAUACAUAGCUUGUAGGUCUACCUCUAGAAUAGGGUAUAUAUAAUUUUCAGAGGAUUGCUCAGAAGAUAAAACGUAACAAUUGAUUAAAUUGAAUUAUAAGAUAAAUAGCGUUAUGCUAGCUCAGUUGAGAAAUAUUAUUGAGUUGAGUAGAUUCUAGUUCUGUUGAAACUGGUACCUACCUAAAUAGAUUACUUUUUUGUUUUUAAAUAGAAUGACUAGCAGUUAAGUUCAAUAAAUAAAUGUAUUCACUUACUGUGACAAUUCCCUUUAUCUGUUUAUAUAUCUAAGAAUUAAAAAAUCACAUUAUUCACAGCGUAAAAUACUUGUCAUUUUGAAUAAAAUGUAAAUACAUAGCUUGUAGGUCUACAUCUAGAAUAGGGCAUAUAAUUUUUAGAGGAAUGUUCAGAAGAUAAAACGAAACGAUUGAAUUAAAUUAAAUUGUAAGAUAAAUAGCCUCAUGCCAGCUCAGUUGAGGAAUAUUAUUGAGUUGAGUAGACUCUAGUUCUGCUGAAACUGCGGUACCUAAUAUUACUUUUUGUUGUUAAAUAUAACGACUAGCAGUCAAGUAUCUUCAAUAAAUGAAUUUAUUCACUUACUGUGACAACGAUAUCUUACGUACAGGUUCAUGGUUGUCACAAUUAUGACCUGUCGAAAGAUCUCGUUGUCAUAGUGAGUGAAUAAAUUCAUUUAUUGAAGAUACUAAUAGUAAAAGUGAUACUAAUUGAAAAAGUGAUCUAAUAGUAAGCAGUGAGUGGUGGAAAACAACAUUGAAUAAUUCUAAAUAGAUUGUAGAAUACGAGUGUUUCAAUGCUCUCCGAAUCACCCAAAAUACUUGAAACAACCAACUCUAGAUUUCCCCACUCAAAUGAGAAUUUAUUAUCAUAGAGAAACAAUAGCGUAAGUAGAUAUCCCAUGGUAUAGGGAAUUUAUGUCGCAACUUUUACUGUUAUCUCAAGCCGAUUACUAUCGAUUAUUGUCAAUUUUUACUGUUUUGGUGGGGUGAUAGUGUAUGAACGGCACAAUUUGAGAGACUACCAGCGUCACACAGCUGCAUAGAAAAGAACUAUGUGAACUAUCGGCUUGGGAUAACAGUAAAACUUGUGACAUAAACGCCCUAUACCAUGGGAUAUCUAUGCUAUCGUUUCUCUAUGGUAUUAUUAAAUCAUUGAAAAAUAUAUUUCCUUGACGAAUAACAUGUAAUUUAUUAUAUUAAACACGAAUGAACAGUUAAUAUAAUAGUAAUAAAUAGUCUGUAAUAGUUGUUCUGUCUAACAAACAUUAUUUAAUGGUUUGUCUAGACAAACCAUUAAAUAAAUAUUACAACAGAUAUACUGGUAUCAGCUAUUCUGUAAAGAAGGCAGAUGCAAGGGCAGAAAAUUGUCAACUGCACUCAUUAUCAUCCUAUUCACUACGUCUCAGUGUCUCACCCUCUAGGUUUCUGAGCCAAUAGCAUAUUUAUUAUUGAAAUGUUUAGACAAACCAUCAGUUUAUCAUUAUUUUCCCUCUUAUUAUACAAUUUUUACAGUAGGCCUGCAUAAUGCAUAAUUCCAUUGAUUUAUAUUCUCACCAUUUUGACUUAUUAACCAAUAGUACGAUUAUUAUUUAAAAUGUUUAUAUUGAGUAGUUCGACAAAAAAUGAAGUGCUAUUAAUUGUUUUUGAAUAACGAAUGAUUAUUGAUUGUGUUAUGUUGAUUUUUUUAAAUACAUUUUCAAGUGGAUAUAAUAUUCUAAUCUCUAUUAGCCAAUGUCUUACAUUCUAGGCUUCUGGGCUGAUUAAUAAGAUUAAAAACCGUUUCUUAUUUAAAAUCUUUAUAAUAAAUGCCUUUACUGUACUUUCACAAAUUAUUAUUGUGUUAAUAAAUCUAUUUUUUCAAAGAUUU